UUAAAUGAAUUGACGGGGAGCACCACAACGGGUGGAGCUUGCGGUUUAAUUGGAUUCAACGCCGGAAAUCUUACCGGGACCGACAGCGAUAUGAAGGCCAGGCUGAAGACUUUGCCGGAUUAGCUGAGAGGUGGUGCAUGGCCGUCGUCAGUUCGUACUGUGAAGCAUCCUGUUAAGUCAGGCAACGAGCGAGACCCACGCCCACAGUUGCCAGCGUACUCUCCGGAGUGACGGGUACACUGUGGGGACCGCCGCUGCUAAAGCGGAGGAAGGAAUGGGCAACGGUAGGUCAGUAUGCCCCGAAUAUCCCGGGCUACACGCGAGCUACAAUGGUUGGUACAAUGGGUAUCUACCCCGAAAGGGGAUGGAAAUCUCCUAAAGCCAAUCUUAGUCCGGAUUGAGGGCUGCAACUCGCCCUCAUGAAGCUGGAAUCCGUAGUAAUCGCGUUUCAACAGAACGCGGUGAAUACGUCCCUGCUCCUU
RNAcentral lists this ribosomal RNA (482 nucleotides) under uncultured Methanosaeta sp. RNAcentral's name for it is "bacterial SSU rRNA". It matches the Rfam family "Archaeal small subunit ribosomal RNA", at positions 856 to 1338 of the family's 1478-position model. The record is from RNAcentral. Lineage: Archaea; Methanobacteriati; Methanobacteriota; Methanomicrobia; Methanotrichales; Methanotrichaceae.